UUUCCGUAGGUGAACCUGCGGAAGGAUCAUUCAUAAUAAGUGUUCUACUGCACUUUUUAAAAAUAGUACUCACCUUGUGUGCAAUGUUGUGUGAACUUCUACUUGUAGAAGUCCACACCUACACCAACCUAUAACCUUGAACCACUUUGUCUGAAAAACUAUUAUGAAUACUUAAUUCAAAAUACAACUUUCAACAACGGAUCUCUUGGCUCUC
Molecule: unclassified non-coding RNA, 214 nt
Filed under: plant metagenome
Description: partial contains small subunit ribosomal RNA, internal transcribed spacer 1, and 5.8S ribosomal RNA
Source: RNAcentral